Molecule: long non-coding RNA, 6576 nt
Filed under: Homo sapiens (human)
Lineage: Eukaryota; Metazoa; Chordata; Mammalia; Primates; Hominidae
Source: RNAcentral
GGGGAUUUGCCUAUUAACUCCUGCUACCUUGAAGUGUCACAUAAACAACUUAGUUACAGUUUGGUGGUAUGGAACUUCAGGACAAGUAACUCCAUUUUGAUUUGGUCUGUUGAGCCUAAAGAGAUAUAAUUGUAUUGAACAAUUCCCCUCUUUUUGUCAGGGUCUCUCAUAGGUGACAGUGUGACCAAGACUUAGGGCAUCAGUACAAUCUAACAGUCACCAUCAUUUUGGGGUGCGCUCUCCAUACAUCAUUCAUGGGUUACAUUGUCUUUCUUAUCAUGUGUUUCUUUAAGUUUUCUUCAUUCCAGCCCAAAAGACCGUUUAGCAUACAGCAGAUAGCUGCAUGUAGAUAUUUAAGACUUUUUGAGAGGAUACUGUGUACCAGGAAGACUAAUAUUGUGACCAUCAGGAGGAUAAUACCAAAAAUUCGGAGCAUGUUUCUUACCCAGGGUCUCCAUGAACUAAAGCAACUAAAAUCAAACAGAUCUAAGAAUGAGCUAGAUGAGGAGUCUGCCUGUUUUAACCAAGUAGGUAUUAAUUUUUAAUAACUGAGUGUCUACAAUACUUGAUAUAUUUACCUAUAUGCAACAAGAAAUAUCAGCAACUACACAGACUACUUCCUGUUCAGCUAGUAGGUAAUCUAGCAUCCCAUGAUUGGGAUAAAUUAAGGCAGGAAGUGAGAACAAGUGGAUCUAGAAGUCUUUUUUUUAAAAAAUAUGGAACGCUUCAUGAAUUUGCAUGUCAUCCUUGUGCAGGGGCCAUGCUAAUCUUCUCUGUAUCGUUCUAAUUAUUUUAGCAUAUGUGCUUCUGAAGCCGAGCACUAGAAGUCUUACUUUAUAAAACAGAUCAUGAGGCUGGGCAUGGUGGCUCACACUUGUAAUCCCAGCACUUUGGGAGGCUGAGGUGGGCAGAUCACCUAAGGUCACGAGUUCGAGACCAGCCUGGCCAACAUGGUGAAACCCUGUCUCUACUAAAUAUACAAAAAAUUAGCCAGUCGUGGUGGCGGGUGCCUGUAGUCCCAGCUACUUGGGAGGCUGAGGCAGGAGAAUCACUUGAACCUGAGAGGCAAAGGUUGCAGUGAGCUGAGAUGUUGGCCAGGCUGGUCUCGAACUCCUAACCUCAAGUGAUUUGCCUACCUCAGCCUCCCAGAGUGUUGAGAUUACAGGUGUAAGCCACCGGGCCCAGCCCAACUUCUCAUCUUGAUUUGCAGUUUGAUUGUCUCUGGUUAUGGCAUCAUGCAUUUUGGUGAAAUCUCUAUUUGGCCCACACAUCAGUAAUAGGACUUGUCCUUUGAAAUUUACAUUGAGUUGUCCAGCUUCUGCUUAUAGGGCUUCAGGAACAGAGUAGUUCUUAUUUUUAGUUGGAGAGUCGUAACCACAUACUGGAGGAAACUAGAAGAAUUCAGAAUCUAGUCUAGUCUACAGGUAGAUAAUAAAAACUUGAGAACAAGGAACAGGGGUAUACUCUAUUAACAGGUAUACUAUAGCUAUCCUCAGAAACAUAGUUUUUCUCUCAAUAGCAGUGGUCUCCAAUCUUUUCGUGGAAGACAAUUUUUCCACAGACCAGGGUAGGGGUGGAGGGGAUAGUUUCGGGAUGAAACUUCCACCUCAGAUCAUCAAGCAUAAGAUUCUCAUGAGGAGCAAGAAACCUAGAUGCCUCGCAUGUGAAGUUCACAAUAGGGUUCCCACUUCUAUGAGGAUUUUUUGUUUUUGAGACGGAGUCUCACUCUGUCACCUAGGCUGGAGUGCAGUGAUAUGAACUUGGCUCACUGCAACUUCUGCCUCUGGGGUUCAAGGGAUUCUCCUGCCUCAGCCUCCUAAGUAUCUGGGAUUAUAAGGGUGCACCGCCAUACCCAGCUAAUUUUUGUAUUUUUAGUAGAGAUGGGGUUUCACCAUGUUGGCGAGGCUGGUCUUGAACUCCUGACCUCAAUCCUCCCACCUUGGCCUCCCAAAGUGCUGGGAUUACAGGUGUGAGCCACCACGCCUGGCCUCCUGUGAGAAUUUAAUGCUGCUGCUGAUCUGAUGGAGGUGGAGCUUAGGCGGUAAUGCUCGCUUGUCUGCAGCUCACCUCCUGCUUUGUGGCCUGGUUGCUCAUCUCCUGCUGGGUGGCCUGGUUUUUAACAGGUGAGCCAGGGGUUGGGGACUCCUGCUCUACAGUCACCCCCAUUUCUACCAAAGAUAAUCGGGGUAAAACUAAUUUGUUUGCAAAAUAAGUUUAGUCUCAUCAAACUUAGGCUGUUUAUUUAUACAAGUACAGCAAGAAUAACAAUUGACCACAUAGGCGCUAUUAAACUUUGCUUUGCUGGAACUUUUGAUAGGAAAUCAAAUCCAACAGAUUGGAUUAUUAACAACCUCUUGAGGCUAUGAAGCCAAACCAAAGCAUACCUCAGACUUUGUCUACAGUACCUGUAGAUUAAUUCUAUGCACUUGUCAAAUAUGGUAUCCCAGUGAAAAAAUAUAACUGAUAUUUCCAAUUUUAUUCUGAGAAAACUGAGCAGAUUCUUAUUGAACUAAACUAUGAAAAUAACUAUAUUGCCACGAAAAUAAAAAUUUUCAUGAAUAUUUCUAAAUUCUGGAGGGAUCAGGUAGGUACUGAAAGUAAACGUUUCAAUUUUUGUUCACACAAGUAUACUUUGCCAAAUUGCUGUAAGUUACAGAUACCUUAAAAGAAAGAGUUGUCUUAAAUCUGAAAAACAAAAUAUUAAAAAACCUGCAAUAUGGCCGGGCGCAGUGGCUCACGUCUGUAAUCACAGCAUUUUGGGAGGCCGAGGCGGGCGGAUCACGAGGUCAAGAGAUCGAGACCAUCCUGGCCAAUAUGGUGAAACCCCAUCUCUACUAAAAUACAAAAAAAUUAGUUGGGCAUGUGGCGUGUGCCUGUAGUCCCAGCUACUCGGGAGGCUGAGGCAGGAGAAUCACUUGAACCUGGGAGGCAGAGGUUGCAGUGAGCCGAGUUCGCGCCACUGUACUCCAUCCAGCCUGGCAACAGAGCGAGACUCCGUCUCAAAAGCAAGCAAACAAACAAAAAACGUGCAAUAUUUCGAAUAAAAAUGCUGUAAAAACCCAUAAUUCUUCUUCAUCAGUUUAUUUAAUCCCAUGUAAUUAAUUUUUGUUCUGCUUGAUCUUGGUUAGCAGCUCACGAACCCAGCAGUUUCUUCAUUAGAUUUCUGGAAAUUUCUACCUAGUCCAGUGGUAUGAUCUUAAAGUUAUCAGAAACCUACAUUUAUUUGUCAGAGUCCUCUCUAUCCUUCUGUUAAAAGAAAAAGUCAGCAGAAUUAAGUUUAAAGGAGUUUAGUUAAGCAAUGAAUGAUUCGCGAAUCAGACAGCCCCCAGAAUCACAGCAGAUUCAGAGAAACUCCAAUGGUGUCUCGUGGUCAGAACAAAUUUAUAGAUAAAAAAAGGGAAGUGACGUACAGAAAUUGGAAGUGAGGCUCAGAAACAGCUGAAUUAGUUACAGGUUGGCAUUUGCCUUAUUUGAACACCGUUUGAACACCCAGCAGUGUAUGAAUGGUUGAAGUAUGGCUGUGCUGGGAUUGGCUAAGACUCAGCUAUUGUUAUAGGCACUAUUGUUAUAACCUCUAAGUUAGGUUUUCAAUUUUCCCUACCUAUUAAGUUAGGUUGCAGUUCAUCCAAGGACUCAAAUAUGGAAGUACAGAGUCCUUCUCAUUUAGUUUGCUUUAAUACUUCCCGUGAAUCUUCGGAGUUUCCCUCUGUUGCCCAGGCUGGAGUGCAGUGGCACGAUCUCAGCUCACUAAAGCCUCCAUCUCCCGGGUUCAAGCAAUUUUCCUGCCUUAGCUUCUCGAGUAGCUGGGAUUAUGGGUGCACACCACCAUGUCUGGCUAAUUUUUGUAUUUUUAGUAGAGACAGGGUUUUGCCAUAUUGGCCAGGCUGGUCUUGAACUCGUGACCUCAGGUGAUCUACCUGCCUCGGCCUCCCGAAGUGUUGAGAUUACAGGCAUGAGCCACUGCCCCAGGCCACACUUCCAUAAAUCUUCUUGAAGACACAACACUUUAGGAUUACAGUUGUUUGCAAAAAGCUCUCAGAAGGGCUGGGCAGGUGGCUCACGCCUGCAAUCCCAGCACUUUGGGAGGCCAAGGCAGGCAGACCGCUUGAGCCCAGGAGUUCGAGACCAGCCUGGGCAACAUGGUGAAACCUCAUCUCUACAAAAAAAAGAAAAAAAAUAAAAUUAGACGGGUGUAGUGGUGCACACCUGUAGUCCUAGCUACUCAGAGGAUCCCUUGAGUCAGGGAGGUGGAGGUUGCAGUGAGCCAAGAUCAUGAUACUGCACUCCAGCCUGGGCAACAGAGUGAGACUCUGCCUCAAAAAAGAAAAAGAAAAAAAAAAGGUUUCAGAAGAGCAUAAGAAUAAAAGAAUUAACUAUGGACUUAAAAUGGCUAUGGUUGAAAGUCUGAUACGAGGUCAGGCAUGGAGGUUCAUGCCUAUAACCCCAGCAUUUUUGGAGGCCAAGGUGGGAGGAUCACUUGAGGCCAGAGGUUCAAGACCAGCCUGGGCAACGUAACAAGAUUUUGUGUCUACAAAAAAUUUUUUAAAAAAAUUAGCCAGGUGUGGUGGUGUGUGCUUGUAGUCCUAGCUACUUGGGAGGCUGACGCAAGAGGAUCUCUUAAGCUUAGGAAUUUGAGGCUGCAGUGAGCUAUGAUUGUACUACUGCACUCCAACCUGGGUGACAAAACAAGAACUUGGUUCUAAAAAAAAUUAAAAAUUAAAAAAAUCUGGUGCUUGCAAUUAGAAUGAUAGAGAUGAUUAGCAUGGUCCCCUCCACAAGGAUGACAUGCAAAUUGGUGAAGCAUUCCGUAUUAAAAAAAAAAAAUCAGGCUGGGCGUGGUGGCUCAUGCCUGUAACUCCAAUACUUUGGGAGGCUGAGGCAGGUGGAUCACUUGAGGUCAGGAGUUUGAGACCAGCCCAACCAACAUGGUGAAAUCCUGUCUCUACUAAUACAAAACUUAGCUGGACGUGGUGGCGUGCACCUGUAAUCCAAGCUGCUUACUCAGGAGGCUGGGGCAGGAGAAUCACUUGAACCCAGGAGGCGGAGGUUGCAGUGAGCUGAGUUCUUUAGCCUGGGCAACAGAGGGAGACUCUGUCUCAAAAACAAACAAAGAAACAAACAAACAAAAAAACUAGAUGAAUGCCAGAAUGCCAUAUUCUGGAAAAUAAUUUAGUCAGACUGGUGGCUUUUCAAUUUUGCUUCUGUUUCUUAACUGGAUUACUGAGUUUAGGGUGGAGUCCAUUAACAAAUAGGUCAGACACAUCAUUUUCUAUGUCUGGACUCUAGCACUGAUAACUCUGAAAAAAGAAGCAAAACUGCUUGACCUGAGGGACUAAGUUUUAUAAAAACCACUUUUCCCACUUUCUUUUUGUCUUUGGGGUGUGAUAGUAACUAAGCAAAAAGGUUGGCAGUUUCCAUUUUUCUUAUCGAUUGGUUACUUAAGCUUUUCAUUUGCCUUUUGUAAUAAGUCUUUUAAAAGAGGCAAGAAAAAAUUUUGAAAUCUUUUUAGAAGUUUCUGCAUAUCCAUAGGCAUCCCUGGGUGGGUCUAAUUCAGGAACUCUCUCUCUCUCUCUCUUUUGGAGACAAGGUCUUGCUCUGUAGCCCAGUCUAGAGUACAGUGGUGUGCGAUCAGAACUCACUGCAGCCUCAAACUCCUGGACUCAAGAGAUCCUCCCAUCACAGCUUCCCAAGUAGCUAGUAACUACAGGGAUAUGUUACCAUGCCCAGCUAAUUUUUCAAAGUUGUUGUAGAAAUGUGGUCUAUGUUGCUCAGGUUGGUCUUGAACUCCUGGGCCCAGCUAAUUAUCCCUCCUUGGCCUUGCAAAGUGCUAAGAUUACAGGUCAGAGCCACUAUGCCCAGCAGGAACCCUCUUUUUUUUUUUUUUUUUUUUUGAGACAGAGUCUCACUCUGUCACCCAGGCUGGAGUGCAGGGGCACGAUCUCGACCCACUGCAAGCUCUACCUCCCGGGUUCACGCCAUUCUCCUGCCUCAGCCUCCCGAGUAGCUGAGACCACAGGCACCUGCCACCACACCCGGCUAAUUUUUUUGUAUUUUUUUAGUAGAGAUGGGGUUUCACCGUGUUAGCCAGGAUGUUCUCCAUUUCCUGACCUCGUGAUCCACCUGCCUCAGCCUCCCAAAGUGCUGGGAUUAUAGGCGUGAGGCACUGCGCCCGGCCAGGAACCCUCAUUUUUAAAUGCACUUCCUUUUUUUUUUUAUUUGAGACAGGCUCUCCUUCUGUAGCCCAGGCUGGAGUGCAGUGGCGUAAUCUCAGCUCACUGCAACCUCCGCCUCCUGAGUUCAAGCAAUCCUCCCACCUCAGCUGGUAGCUGGGACUCCUGAGUAGCUGGGACUACAGGCACAAACCACCACACCUGGCUAAUUUUUGAAAUUUUUGUAGAACCAGGGUUUCACUGUGUUGCUGAGACUGGUCUCGAACUCCUGAGCUCAAGCAAUCCACCCGCCUGAGCCUCCCAAAGUGCUAGGAUUACAGGCAUGAGCCACCCACCAUACCUGGCCUAAAUGCACUUCUUAAAGUUGAGUAUCGGUCUGUCGUGGUGGCUCAUGCCUGUAAUCCCA